Long non-coding RNA from Helianthus annuus (common sunflower), 252 nucleotides. RefSeq lists it as uncharacterized. Lineage: Eukaryota; Viridiplantae; Streptophyta; Magnoliopsida; Asterales; Asteraceae. The transcript is spliced from 3 exons. The record is from RefSeq and is a predicted model, not a curated record.
UUCUAAACACUUCCAAAGCCCAACCCAUUGAAACCCUAAUCCUUCCCCCUAUAAAUACCACCUAUAACCAACCUCUCUACCACUUUUACAACACUAAAAACUGUCAAAACAUCCUCCAAACCGUAGCUGAAAGCAAAGAGAAACAAGGUGCUCCAACUAGCUAAUUCAACCACCAACUUGCUCUCGGAUUCUCAAGUCACAACUUGUAAACCGUUGAUGAGGAAGAUGCUAAGAAAAGAAGUAGCGUUGAUG